AUCCAGUUGACGAGUCUUAAGAUAGGACGAAAUACGCAUCUUGGCUGGAU
Molecule: non-coding RNA, 50 nt
Filed under: Trichobilharzia regenti
Lineage: Eukaryota; Metazoa; Platyhelminthes; Trematoda; Strigeidida; Schistosomatidae
Source: RNAcentral